Molecule: ribosomal RNA, 425 nt
Filed under: uncultured bacterium
Lineage: Bacteria
Description: partial 16S ribosomal RNA
Rfam family: Bacterial small subunit ribosomal RNA
Source: RNAcentral
UUGGGGAAUCUUGCGCAAUGGGCGAAAGCCUGACGCAGCCAUGCCGCGUGAAUGAUGAAGGUCUUAGGAUUGUAAAAUUCUUUCACCGGGGACGAUAAUGACGGUACCCGGAGAAGAAGCUCCGGCUAACUUCGUGCCAGCAGCCGCGGUAAUACGAAGGGGGCUAGCGUUGCUCGGAAUUACUGGGCGUAAAGGGCGCGUAGGCGGACAGCUUAGUCAGAGGUGAAAGCCCAGGGCUCAACCUUGGAAUUGCCUUUGAUACUGGCUGUCUUGAGUUUGGGAGAGGUGAGUGGAACUCCGAGUGUAGAGGUGAAAUUCGUAGAUAUUCGGAAGAACACCAGUGGCGAAGGCGACUCACUGGCCCAAUACUGACGCUGAGGCGCGAAAGCGUGGGGAGCAAACAGGAUUAGAUACCCUAGUAGUCC